This 479-nucleotide ribosomal RNA is filed under the name uncultured organism. Its description in RNAcentral is "partial 16S ribosomal RNA". It matches the Rfam family "Bacterial small subunit ribosomal RNA", at positions 331 to 801 of the family's 1533-position model. The record is from RNAcentral.
GUACACUCCUACGGGAGGCAGCAGUGGGGAAUAUUGCACAAUGGGCGCAAGCCUGAUGCAGCCAUGCCGCGUGUAUGAAGAAGGCCUUCGGGUUGUAAAGUACUUUCAGCGGGGAGGAAGGCAAUACGGUUAAUAACCGUGUUGAUUGACGUUACCCGCAGAAGAAGCACCGGCUAACUCCGUGCCAGCAGCCGCGGUAAUACGGAGGGUGCAAGCGUUAAUCGGAAUUACUGGGCGUAAAGCGCACGCAGGCGGUCUGUCAAGUCGGAUGUGAAAUCCCCGGGCUCAACCUGGGAACUGCAUUCGAAACUGGCAGGCUUGAGUCUUGUAGAGGGGGGUAGAAUUCCAGGUGUAGCGGUGAAAUGCGUAGAGAUCUGGAGGAAUACCGGUGGCGAAGGCGGCCCCCUGGACAAAGACUGACGCUCAGGUGCGAAAGCGUGGGGAGCAAACAGGAUUAGAAACCCCAGUAGUCCCAUGAU